This is a long non-coding RNA of Haplochromis burtoni (Burton's mouthbrooder), 2220 nucleotides long. RefSeq lists it as uncharacterized. The record is from RefSeq and is a predicted model, not a curated record. Lineage: Eukaryota; Metazoa; Chordata; Actinopteri; Cichliformes; Cichlidae. The transcript is spliced from 3 exons.
CACACAGUAGCGGUUUUUGAUACGGGCGGUUGCCUGUAUCAAAAAAUCGUGGUGGGGAUUAGUUGUCUUUGCUUAAUGAUUGGUUUUAGUCUUGACAAUCCUCAUUGCUGGCAUUGCAUCUUUCAAUGCCAGCAAUGCCAGGUAUCGGUGCUCAAGCCUUUUCUGUUUGUUUCCAAUAAGUUGCCCACCUCGGGAAACAAAUGUGUUCUUUUACUUGUCAGGUGAACAUAUGAGACACUUUGACUCUUCAGUGCAGUGUGGAGCCUAACAAAGAUCUGUUUUGUGUCCCAGCUGAUCAGCAGGAGAAGAGUCUGACGGAGCAGCAGAGGAACAUUUUCAGUUACUUGGACUCAGCUCAGCCACUACAGAGAAAACAAUGAGCUCAACACAGAAGGACCAACAUGGAGCGAGAAGUCAGCGCUCUCAGGAGGCCGACAAACCUCACAGAAGAAAGGGAGAGAAAAAACACACCUGUGACGAGUGUGGGAUGGGUUUUACUGUGAAGGCUUCACUAAAACAGCAUCAGGUCAUCCACACUGGAGAGAGACCGUUCAGCUGUGACUUGUGUGGAAAGUCUUUUUCCUGGAAGGGUUCCCUAAAAACACACCAACUCAUCCACAGUGGAGUUAAAGCGUACAGCUGUGAUCAGUGUGGCAGAGCUUUUACUCACAGUUGGAACUUACAGAAGCAUCUACUUACCCACUCUGGAAUUAAGGCAUACAGCUGUGACGAGUGUGGGAAGGAGUUUGCUAGGAAGGCUUCACUAAAACAGCAUCAGGUCAUCCACACUGGAGAGAGACCGUUCAGCUGUGACUUGUGUGGAAAGUCUUUUUCCUGGAAGCGUUCCCUAAAAAGACACCAACUCAUCCACAGUGGAGUUAAAGCGUACAGCUGUGAUCAGUGUGGCAGAGCUUUUACUCACAUAGCUACUUACAGAAUCAUCUAGUUACCCACUCUGGAAUUAAGGCAUACAGCUGUGACAUCUGUGGAAAGACUUUCAGCCAGAGAGGGUUCCUAAAUAGACACCUACGCAUUCACACGAGACAUGAUGUGUACUGCUGUGAACAGUGUGGCAAAGAGUUUAUAACAGACACACAGUUAAAACGACACAUGUUUAUCCACACUGAGGAGAGACCUUAUAAAUGUGACCUGUGUGAGAAGACUUUUAAAGCUCCACAUUACCUGAGAGAACACCAACAGAUCCACACCAGAAAGAGACUCAACAAGUGCAGUUACUGUGAGAAGCAGAGCGACACAGAUGGAUCCAGUUCUCAACCCUGUCAUCACUGUGGUGGUGGGAAAGACUUUCAUUGUGACCUUUGUGGAAAAACUUUCAGUCAGCAAAACACCCUAAAAAGACAUCAACGUAGACACACUGGAGACAAACUGAAAUACUGCAAAGAAUGUGGGAGAAGCUUCACCACACCAAGUGAGUUAAAAACACAUGAACUGAUUCACAGUGGGGUUAAAAAGCACCUCUGUGAUCAGUGUGGGUCAUCCUUCACCACUGCAUAUAAGCUUAAAAGACACAAACGAGUCCACACAGGAGAGAAACCAUACAAGUGCAGACACUGUGACAGAAGCAAAGCUUCUCAGAUUCAGGUAAUCGUAACUAUCAUGAACGUACACACAUGGAAGGAAACUACAGCUGUGACCAGUGUGACAAGAGCUUCAGGAAUCUCAGUUCAUACUCCACACACAAACGAUCCCACGUUACUAAUAAACUGUUUCACUGUUACCAAUGUGCCCAAACAUUCACCUCAUUGUCUGCUCUGUGCAAACAUCAGCGUGAUCACUCAGGGCUGAAAUCACUCCCAUCACUGGAUCACAGUGAAUCUGAAGAGACAGAAAGAUCCUCUGGUUUCAGUGUCAGACUCAAAAAGCUUGAGAUCAGGCUCCACAGAGUUCAGAUAGAAUCAUUUAAACUUGUGUUGAACUGAACUGGUUGCUGGGCUGAACUUCUACAUAAUACAGAUUUACAUGGGAUCUUAUUUUCUGUCGUUUUACUGAGUCAGUUUUGUCCUUUUUUCUCUGUCCUGGUUUUGCUCGUCUGUAAAUAAUUGAAACUCAGUCAAAUAGUUCAUUGUUCUCCAGCAAAACGUUUUGGAAACUCAUGUUUAACCUUUAAAACUCUGACAUGUUUUAGCACACAAGGCUUCAUCGGGGAGUUCACUCAUGAUUGGACCAUGAGAAUAAAGGUUUUUAGUUCUUUCAAAGAGA